Molecule: ribosomal RNA, 253 nt
Filed under: uncultured bacterium
Lineage: Bacteria
Description: partial 16S ribosomal RNA
Rfam family: Bacterial small subunit ribosomal RNA
Source: RNAcentral
UACGAAGGGGGCUAGCGUUGCUCGGAUUGACUGGGCGUAAAGGGCGCGUAGGCGGCUUACACAGUCAGACGUGAAAUUCCUGGGCUCAACCUGGGGGCUGCGUUUGAUACAUGUAGGCUUGAGUUCGGAAGAGGGUCGUGGAAUUCCCAGUGUAGAGGUGAAAUUCGUAGAUAUUGGGAAGAACACCGGUGGCGAAGGCGGCGACCUGGUCCUUUACUGACGCUGAGGAACGAAAGCCAGGGGAGCGAAUGGG